AACGAACGCUGGCGGCAUGCCUAACACAUGCAAGUCGAACGAGACCUUCGGGUCUAGUGGCGCACGGGGGCGUAAAGGGUGGGAACAUGCCCUUAGGCUCGGAAUAACUCCCCGAAAGGGGUGCCAAUACCGGCUAAUAUCCUCGGACCAAAGGUUUAUCGCCUUUGGAUGGGCCCGCGUUGGAUUAGCUUGUUGGUAGGGUAAAAGCCUACCAAGGCGACGAUCCAUAGAUGGUCUGAGAGGAUGAGCAGCCACACUGGGACUGAGACACGGCCCAGACUCCUACGGGAGGCAGCAGUGGGGAAUAUUGGACAAUGGGCGAAAGCCUGAUCCAGCUAGGCCGCGUGAGUGAUGAAGGCCUUAGGGAUGUAAAGCUCUUUUACCCGGGAUGAUAAUGACGGUACCGGAAGAAUAAGCACCGGCUAACUCCGUG
Molecule: ribosomal RNA, 433 nt
Filed under: uncultured bacterium
Lineage: Bacteria
Description: partial 16S ribosomal RNA
Rfam family: Bacterial small subunit ribosomal RNA
Source: RNAcentral